RNAcentral lists this ribosomal RNA (580 nucleotides) under uncultured bacterium. RNAcentral's name for it is "partial 16S ribosomal RNA". It matches the Rfam family "Bacterial small subunit ribosomal RNA", at positions 355 to 920 of the family's 1533-position model. The record is from RNAcentral.
UGGGGAAUAUUGCACAAUGGGCGCAAGCCUGAUGCAGCCAUGCCGCGUGUGUGAAGAAGGCCUUCGGGUUGUAAAGCACUUUCAGCGAGGAGGAAGGUGGUGAACUUAAUACGUUCAUCAAUUGACGUUACUCGCAGAAGAAGCACCGGCUAACUCCGUGCCAGCAGCCGCGGUAAUACGGAGGGUGCAAGCGUUAAUCGGAAUUACUGGGCGUAAAGCGCACGCAGGCGGUUUGUUAAGUCAGAUGUGAAAUCCCCGGGCUCAACCUGGGAACUGCAUUUGAAACUGGCAAGCUAGAGUCUCGUAGAGGGGGGUAGAAUUCCAGGUGUAGCGGUGAAAUGCGUAGAGAUCUGGAGGAAUACCGGUGGCGAAGGCGGCCCCCCUGGACGAAGACUGACGCUCAGGUGCGAAAAGGCGUGGGGGCAGCAAAACAGGAUUAGAUACCCUGGUAGUCCACGCUGUAAACGAUGUCGAUUUUGGAGGUUGUGCCCUUGAGGCGUGGCUUCCGGAGCUAACGCGUUAAAUCGACCGCCUGGGGAGUACGGCCGCAAGGUUAAAACUCAAAUGAAUUGACGGGGUC